GAUGAAGAACGCAGCGAAAUGCGAUAAGUAAUGUGAAUUGCAGAAUUCAGUGAAUCAUCGAAUCUUUGAACACACAUUGCGCCCCUUGGUAUUCCGAGGGGCAUGCCUGUUCGAGCGUCAUUAUAACCCCUCAAGCUCAGCUUGGUGUUGGGGCCUGCUGCACUGGCAGCCCUUAAAAUCAGUGGCGGCGCCAUCUGGCUCUAAGCGUAGUAAUUCUUCUCGCUAUGGAGUCCUGGUGGAUGCUUGCCAUCAACCCCCAAUUUUUCUAUGGUUGACCUCGGAUCAGGUAGGGAUACCCGCUGAACUUAAGCAUAUCAAUAAGCGGAGGA
RNAcentral lists this unclassified non-coding RNA (329 nucleotides) under soil metagenome. RNAcentral describes it as "partial contains 5.8S ribosomal RNA, internal transcribed spacer 2, and large subunit ribosomal RNA". The stretch from base 1 to 120 matches the Rfam family "5.8S ribosomal RNA", at positions 35 to 154 of the family's 154-position model. The record is from RNAcentral.